GUGUCAGCAGCCGCGGUAAGACGAAGGUGGCAAGCGUUGUUCGGAAUCACUGGGCAUAAAGCGUGCGUAGGCGGCCAAAUCAGUCGGGUGUGAAAUCCCUCGGCUCAACCGAGGAACUGCGCCCGAUACUGUUUGGCUUGAGGUCCGGAGGGGAGAGUGGAAUUCCCGGUGGAGCGGUGAAAUGCGUAGAGAUCGGGAAGAACGCCGGCGGCGAAAGCGACUCUCUGGUCGGAUCCUGACGCUGAGGCACGAAAGCUAGGGGAGCAAACGGGAUUAGAAACCCCGGUAGUCC
RNAcentral lists this ribosomal RNA (292 nucleotides) under uncultured bacterium. Its description in RNAcentral is "partial 16S ribosomal RNA". It matches the Rfam family "Bacterial small subunit ribosomal RNA", at positions 505 to 796 of the family's 1533-position model. The record is from RNAcentral.